Solanum dulcamara is the source of this 106-nucleotide small nucleolar RNA. Lineage: Eukaryota; Viridiplantae; Streptophyta; Magnoliopsida; Solanales; Solanaceae. The record is from RefSeq and is a predicted model, not a curated record.
GAUGAUGGUGAGGACAACUACUGAUUAGAGACUUAAAACUAUCUCAGGCUUGGUACAAACUUUCACAAGAUUUCUAUUUAAAGCUCAAGAUUUUGUCUCUCAACUC